This 476-nucleotide ribosomal RNA is filed under the name uncultured bacterium. RNAcentral's name for it is "partial 16S ribosomal RNA". It matches the Rfam family "Bacterial small subunit ribosomal RNA", at positions 28 to 523 of the family's 1533-position model. The record is from RNAcentral.
GACGAACGCUGGCGGCGUGCUUAACACAUGCAAGUCGAACGGUAAGGCCUUCGGGUACACGAGUGGCGAACGGGUGAGUAACACGUGGGUGAUCUGCCCUGCACUUUGGGAUAAGCCUGGGAAACUGGGUCUAAUACCGGAUAGGACUACGCACUGCAUGGUGGGUGGUGGAAAGCUUUUGCGGUGUGGGAUGGGCCCGCGGCCUAUCAGCUUGUUGGUGGGGUGAUGGCCUACCAAGGCGACGACGGGUAGCCGGCCUGAGAGGGUGUCCGGCCACACUGGGACUGAGAUACGGCCCAGACUCCUACGGGAGGCAGCAGUGGGGAAUAUUGCACAAUGGGCGCAAGCCUGAUGCAGCGACGCCGCGUGGGGGAUGACGGCCUUCGGGUUGUAAACCUCUUUCAGCACAGACGAAGCGCGAGUGACGGUAUGUGCAGAAGAAGGACCGGCCAACUACGUGCCAGCCGCCGCAGUAA